Caretta caretta (loggerhead turtle) is the source of this 600-nucleotide non-coding RNA. NCBI's taxonomy places the organism in Eukaryota, Metazoa, Chordata, Testudines, Cheloniidae. The record is from the annotation of a RefSeq genome assembly.
GUUCCUGCCGGCUGGGCACAUUUUAGUCUUUGAUUGCAAACAAUGAAGUUUCUGGUGCUUUUCCUUUCCCUAAUGGCCGCCGCGGGAUGUGUCCUGUCCCAAGUUCAGCUGGCCCAGUCCGGUCCAGGGGUGGUGAAGCCCGGAGCGACCCUGACACUGACCUGUGCUAUCACCGGUGACUCGGUCACUAGUCUCUACUGGGAAUGGGUCCGACAGGCUCCCGGGAAAGGGCUGGAGUGGGUGGGACAGAUCGACUGGUCCGGCUCCAAGUGGCGCAUAUACUACGGCCCGUCUUUCCAGAGCCGAGCAACCCUCAGCGCAGAUUCCUCCAAGAACCAGUUCUCCCUGCAGCUCCGCUCGCUGACAGCCGCGGACACCGCCACCUAUUACUGCGCCCGGAGAGACACGGUGACACGGGGCAGAGCGGGGCUGGUACAAAAAGGGGAAGCGGGUGUCCUUUCUCAGGUGCAGCUGGUCGAGUCUGGCCCGGGCGUGGUGAAGCCUGGACAGACCCUCACACUGACCUGUGCUGUCUCCAUCACUGACAGCAGCUACGCGUGGAGCUGGGUCCAGCAGCCCCCCGGGAAAGGGCUGGAGUGA